UACGUAGGGGGCAAGCGUUGUCCGGAAUCAUUGGGCGUAAAGAGCGUGUAGGCGGCUCGGUAAGUCCGCUGUGAAAGUCCAGGGCUCAACCCUGGAAUGCCGGUGGAAACUGUCGAGCUAGAGUCCGGAAGAGGCGAGUGGAAUUCCUGGUGUAGCGGUGAAAUGCGCAGAUAUCAGGAGGAACACCGGUGGCGAAGGCGGGUCUCUGGGCCGUAACUGACGCUGAGGAGCGAAAGCAUGGGGAGCGAACAGG
RNAcentral lists this ribosomal RNA (253 nucleotides) under uncultured bacterium. RNAcentral describes it as "partial 16S ribosomal RNA". It matches the Rfam family "Bacterial small subunit ribosomal RNA", at positions 524 to 776 of the family's 1533-position model. The record is from RNAcentral.